Molecule: long non-coding RNA, 701 nt
Organism: Chrysemys picta bellii (western painted turtle)
Lineage: Eukaryota; Metazoa; Chordata; Testudines; Emydidae
Source: RefSeq, a predicted model, not a curated record
AUCAAUAAAAUGGACACAAAUACUCUUGUUCUUUUUGCAGAUACAGACUAACAUGGCUGCUACUCUAAAAUCCUCUACAAGAAUCAGCUGGAAGUGUUGGAGAACUAAGUGAGAGAUGGAGGCCAGAUGACCAGGUCAAUCUCCUGGUUGUCACUCAAGUUGCCGCUGUUGGAAAGUUUAGCUGAAAAAAUGCCUGCACAUCUAUUGAAAUCCUGGUACUGGUGAGUGAGAGACAUGUUCAUGCACUCUGGAAUAAUCUCCACUUAGCUCGCAUGCAUAGCAUGUUGGGGAGAGCACAAAAGAUUCCACUGUGUGUUAACAUGUGUGAUUUAGUUUAUGAAAUUGUAACCAGAUGAGCCUUUCUUUCAUCGUUGUCUCCUAUUCAUAAUUUUGUUCUGUUUCAUGUGAAAUUGGGAAAUAAAACUUUAGCUUUGCGGGAGAAAUCCCCUUCUCAGCACUCAGGCCGAGUAAGUUUACUGUGGAGAUCCAGGAGGUUGCUGCAGGGGACUGGAGAAAGGAAUACACCCUUCCCCAACUGCAGAAUAGUACUGGAUUGCCUUCACAGAGGCUACUUCAGCAUGUGUAAUAAGCAAAAGGUAAUAUAACUAUUGGUUGAAGUAAUCUCUGUGAUCCUAGUGGGCCCCUUUCCAAGUGAGUGAAAGGGAGAUAAAGCAUAUGAUCCAUGUAGAAGCAGAACCUUU